UUCCUUUCUCUCCCUCCUCUCCUUCCCUGCUGACUCCCCCGCCCCCUUCCCCCCAUGUGUAACUUUCUUGUAACUUUUUCCACCUCGAGCUCACCACCACAAAACCCAUUUGUUGCUUUUCUAGGGACUUGAAGUCCUUUCUUUAUCGGCUCAGAGACCUAAGUCAGGGAGGAACUUGCUCAAAAUAGCUAAGCCAAACUAUAGUUAGAUAUUUUACUCAGAAAGGCUUAAUUCUGGUCUUGCGGAAUGCAGAAUCCAUCCCGCCCCCAACCAUCACCACCUCCACCAAGAGACUGCGUUCUGUAACAUUAAAAGGUGAAAUAGCACACACAAAGCCCCUCCAAGUAAACAAUAGCCCCCAAGCCUCCAGAUGACGAGAUCGAGAGCAGACAGAUGAGAAACCAAGAAGGGUGUAAUUUGCACAGCCCACUGAUUAACCAGGAGCUGACUGCUCUGUAGAGACAGCACUUAGCAGUCAACCGUAGACAGCAUCAGCUGAGCUUUAAAAGGUGGGUUUUUGAUCACAGCAAAGAGAGACAAUGAACAGUGAUAAACAGUGAGCUUUUCAACCAUUAUCAGUCUUCAUGGCAGGACAGAGGGUGCGAUCGGAUCACUCGAAUCAAUGCUUCUAUUUAUUGAGCAUUUACUGUGUGUUGCGUGCUCUCUAUAGUAUCUCAUUUAAUUCUCUCCACCUACUAUCUCUGCGUCAGGACCUAGGAGAGCACUUUGCAACAAGGGAGGCAAGUUAUCCAAGGCCACUGAGCAUUUGAGAAAGAUGGGAUAUCAGAGGCAGGAGAUUAGGCGCUGAGGCUCUUGUUCUGACUCCUCCUCAAAGUCCACUGAGCGAGUCCUGCUGAUAGCGGGGAUGAGCAAAGCUCUCAGAAGGCCAUAGAUGUCUGCCUUGUUCCCUGUGUGAUCCCCAGAACACUGGCCAGCACAGUGUGGGUGCUCAAUAAAUAUUUGGAAUGAUUGACAGAUCAGGUACAGCCUCUGAAGAGGUGAGCUACAGUUCCAGAGUGUGGGGGUGGGGGGACUUACUUUUCACCAAAACCUCCUGUACUUUGGGAAUUUUGAACCAUGUGCAUUUAUCACCUAGUCAAAACAAAAUGAAUAAAGUCAAUAAAACAAAACAGAACACAGGCACUGCAGAUCAAUCAGAUGGGCCACAUGUUCUGUCUACUACAAACACAUACGUGACAGACACAAGCCUGCCAGGCAUGCAUCAGGGUGGACAUGUGUACCAGUGGACACCCAAGCAAAUAUGGACAGGAAGCUCUCCCGCCUCACUUGCUUCUGAAGGAAAUGGGACACACAAAGAGAAAGAACACAGGAAGACAAAAACACAAUAUCCGCGUGCCACUCCGAAAGCCGUAUGCAUCAGGAGGAAUCUGGAAGUUUGUACUGGCCACAAAUCCCAGAGCUCAGUUUGGAAAACCAUUGAACUUAACAUUUUACUAGUCAAUUACAGCCAUCUGCUAGGCCUGUGGACUGUGCCAAACUAGGUCUCCUUCCUGGGGGGAAUUCUGGAAUCGUGAAUAUGCCAACUUCAGAAAUAGCAGCCUUCCAUCACAUGCAGCAUUUCUUACUGUUUACGUCAAGUUUCAGCAUACACAGCAGGCUCUCUCGGCUGGCUGUGAUGUCAUCGGUCUGUGAACUAACCACACUGAAUAUCCAGGUAGUAGAGCCAACUAUUGUGCUGAAGGCACCCAGUCUCCAAUACAGAGGGCCAGGAACCGGAUCGUGGUGUGGAUACCACACUGCCGCUGGUCAGUGCUGUCCAUCUGACAGACUGAGCACACUUUACAACAUGUGUGCUUCAUUUAACCCUCGCUGGUUUCUAUUUAUUUAGUGCCUCUAUGUGUAUGUCACAAGUCCGAGGGGAUCUUUGGAGUCCAGAAGAGGGUGCUGGCUACACGUGGGUGUGAUCUGAGUGGUGGGAACUGAACUCAGGUCCUCUGGAAGAGCAGAAAGGAUUCUUAACCAUGUGGUGCCAUCUCUCCCAGCCCUGUCCCUCACCCCUUUUAUGAGUGACAGGCAAAUGCAUUAGCUCACCUCCUCAAGCUCUCUUGUCAAACCGUGGGCAGAGUCUGGGCUGGAACAGACAGUUGCCCAAUCCCUAACUCUAUGUAUCCAUACAACAAUGGCAGAGGGGGAGCAAGUGAACUGCAGAUCACCCGCGGGUGCUCACAGGAAGGUGCCACAUGUGAUGGAGAACUUUGCCAGGGUUGAAUGGUGGGUGUGUCCGUGAAGAGGGUAGUGAGGAGCUGACCUCUGCUGGCUACAGGUCCCAGCACAGGGUGGCAAGUAUGGGUGUGCCCCGAGGACCUUGGGCAGCAAGCUUGAUGGAAGCCACAGCAACUGGGCAGGGGAACACUGGUUGAACCAUAGUUUAAGGUCCCUGGGCAUGGGUUUUAGAGUAACUAUGGCUAGCAGGCAACAUCUAUCCAUUGGCACACAUGCAGUUAUUUUGUUGAGACACUUCUCUUUUUAGACUGAAAAAAGGGAACUGAUUUCUGCAAGUUGUCCUUGGAUAUCUACACUUGUUCAUACACGCGAGCGCGCACACACACACACACAUUUCAAAAAAUGUAACAAGAAACAAGAUCUGUUAUACACUUUUUUGCUGAUGAUUAAUAAGGACUAUAAAACAUAGAUUAUAUAUUUCUUAACACUUUUCAUUAAAUCAAACCAUAUUUAAUCUCUAUAAUCUCAUCUAACUGUCAGAGAAGGCAGUUCAGCCUAGGGCUUAGGAUGCAGUUCAGUUGGCAGAGACUUAGGGUCUAUCUCCCACCUCUGUGCGUCUAAUAAACUGGAUGUCAUGGCACAAGGCUGUAAUUCCAGUACUCGGUAGGUGAAGGCAGAAGGUCAGAAAUCCCAAGUCAUUCUUAACUAUAUAGUGAGUUCAAGACUGGCCUGAGGGGCUGGAGGAAUGGGCCUAGCACUUAAGAGCACCAGCUGGCUGGAGAGAUGGCUCAGUGGUUAAGAGCACUGUCUAUUCUUCCAAAGGUCCUGAGUUCAAAUUCCAGCAACCACAUAGUGGCUCACAACCAUCUGUAAUGGGAUCUGAUGCCCUCUUCUGGUGUUUCUGAAAACAUCUAUAGUGUACUCGUAGACAUAAAAUAAAUAAAUCUAAAAAAAAAAAAGAGCACCAGCUGCCUUUCCAGAGGACCUGGGUUUCAUUCCUAGAACUUGUCUGGCACCUGAAAACCAUGUGUAACUCCAGGUCCGAUUCUGGGUCCCUUGGACACCAGGGAUGCAUAUGAACAGAUACAUAUGCAAGAAAAACACCCAAAUACAUAAAAUAAAAAUAAAUCUAUCUUAAAAAAUAUUGAACUUGGUUACCUAUGUUCCUGUCUCAACAUAUAAAUAAGUGAGUAAUGAAUUUACAGCCUAGAAAAUCCAAACAACAAAGACACUCAUAUGAUGCACUCCUUUAUCUUCUAUUGUUUCAUCCUUAAUAAUCAAGAAAGCAGGAAGGAAGCCUGGUGUGCUGGCACAUGUCUUUAAUCCCAGGACUCAGAGCCAGAGGCAGGCAGAUCUCUGUAAGUUCAACAUCAGCCUGGUCUACAGAGUUCCAGACCAGCCAGACAAACACAGUAAGAUCGUGCUUGAAACAAAACAAGCAAGCAGAGAAGUGAACAGGAAGCACAGAAGGAGAGGAGAGGAGAACAGAACCCGGAUGCGCCCAGACUUUCGUUCCCAAUGCUAACUCUAGUGUAGUUAUGCAACAGCGGAUAAGAAGUUACUUAGAUCCCAGUUCUCUCUCUCUCUCUCUCUCUCUCUCUCUCUCUCCCUCUCCCUCCCCCUCCCCCUCCCCCUCCCCCUCUCUCUCUUUCUGUUCUUCAGUUGGAAGGUAGAACCUGUGUUCGCUCAUGCAAGGUUACUGUACUCAGAGAGGCGGGAGAAGACUGGAGGUGGGUGGGAUUUGUAAUUUGGGCUUUAAGUGGCAUCUAGGCCCUUCUAGAAGGCACACCACACCAUCAAGCACACCAAUUGAGGACCCUGUAAUGGGUCAGGGGCAUGGCUCGAAGCAGAAGGUCGGGGGUGGGGGACUGAGUAGCUCUGCCUCCCUCUUCUCUACCUGUCUCCUCUACUAUAGAUCAGCAAAUGGUAGGGACUUUCCUUGAACCUUUGGCUUCUAACAUGUCUCGGCAGGCAGAGUUAGCCACCGAGACCAUAAAGUAAAUGGUGGAAUACAGUAUCUUUUCAUUGUCUGUCUCCAAAAAAAGGGGACAACUGUUGGCUAACUUAGUGGUGGGCUAAACAGGUGAUUCUAGAAGCCAGAAGAGCUGAGGCAUCAUCAGGGAACCACCUGUUCCACUCAUCUAGUCCCUAGAUCUUGGCUUAAGAUUCUGGCUUUGUAGGUGGCCACAGAGGAAGAAAGGGGUUUGACUGGCCAAGUUCACACCCCUCUGAAACAAUGAACUGCAAUUACCUCAUGGAAUAAAUGACUCUGUUCAGGUGAUCGAUUUUUUUUUAAGAGUACAAAGUCGAUUCCCUUCUUUGCUUUUAAGGAUUCUGUUCCUUGUAGCCAGGGUGUGUUUCUCUUUUAAAACCACGCAGCAGUUCAUGGCUCCCUAAUCCGGGCUGCAGAGUGUCUGAGGUCGGCACACAUGACUCAGUGCUGGACGCUUUCCCAACGGGGCAGUGAGAAUGUCCCCCGUGAUCUUGGCUGGGUUAAUAAACAAACCCAUCCCAGAAGAGAAAAGGGAUUUGGUGUCUCUCCUACAGAGGGGUGGAAAGAGCAAGCAGAGUAGACUCUGUCAUUUUUCUCAUGGUUGCAAUGCUUGACCUGGAUGUAGAAACUCCCCUGUGUUACCUCCCUUAGGACUAAGUGUCACGAUGACUUGGGCAUAAACUUUUAAGCUGAGGAUGGAAUCCAGAUAGUAGGGAGUGUGAAAUCACUUUCCUGAUCCCAUUACGUCAAACCUAAGCCACUGGUAAAGUUGACUGGACCACGACUCAGCUGCCAGCGACAAACUCACUCUAUGAAAUCAGAACCAGAACACUGGCAGGAUUAGAACACUGACUGCUAUUUGCAUGCAGCACUAUCAUGCCAACUUGUUCUCUUCCUGUGCUUGUAUGUCCUUAUGUGUACAAAACCUAUAUGUGUAAAGAAAUCAUGCAGCCCAGAAGAUAGGCGGUGACAUCAUUCCUCAGAAACUGUCCACUGUUCCGCUCCCACUGGCCCAGAGCUUACUCAUCUGACUAGAUUGGCUGACCAAGCAUUGCAACCAUGAGAAAAAUGACAGAGCCUGCCUCUGCUUGCUCUUCCAUGUGCACCAGAGCAGGGCAUCAGAUCCUAUUGCAGAUGGUUGUGAGCCACCAUGUGAUUGCUGGCAAUUGAACUCAGGACCUCUAGAAGAGCAGUCAGUGCUCUUAACCUCUGAGCCAUCUCUCUAGCCCCCCAUUUUUUUAAUGUGGCUUCUGGGUAUCAAACACAGGUCCUCUCUAAGUGAGCUACCUGUUCAGUCUUGUCUGUGCAUUCUUUCUUAGCUAUCCAUUUUACACCAAACCCACUCUAGCCCUCCUUCACCUCAGUUCUUUCAUUAUCUGGGUAUAGAGCAUGAGAACCCAUUAUUAGGUAAGGAAGGUCCAGGUAAACAGCCCGCAAAGGGCCCACUGUGUGGCCCAAACCUGAGAUCUCUUUGUGCACUUAAACUGUCACCACUAAACCAGGUGGAAAACACACACCUCUUGGUUUGUUUCCAGCCUAUUCCUCAAAGGUAUAUACAUACAAGUCCACACCGCAUGAGGCCUCUAUUCUUACCAGAGCUCAGCCUGGGGAAGUCACAGGAUUAGCAACAUCACCCUCUGUUUCUCUCACCAUCCCUUGUUCCCAGAUGCUCAGCGCUCUGCCUCCCCUUGCCCAUUCAUCCAUGCUAUUCCCUGGGUCCAGCAUCCAACUUCUCAGCAGUAAGGAUGCUAACAGUGGGAGAGAGGCUAAGAGUGGGAAGCUUGGCCCUUCUACUGCAUGGGUCAGGUCAUCAGGUCAGGAUGCUCAGGUGGACAGGCAGGGAAAGGGAAAAAAAAGAGGAGCAAAAGAGUCUGCAAAGUUACAGUUCAUUUGGGCCAGUAAUUAACUGUCUGCAGUGCAGGCACUUGUAGCUUCAGGCUAUCUGUCCAUCAGGCAGUGCAUGGGUAGUUCCUGAACCUCACUCGACCUUAGCUUUACGGGGAGAAACAUACUGUGUAUCUUUCCUAUCCUAUAUUACAGCUCUGAGCUCAAAUCUGUGACUCUCUCCUCAAUGCCAUGAGUGGAUGUGGUUGGUGUUGAGCUAACUCCCCAUUACUUAUGUAUGCUCCCCUGACUCUCUCUCUCUCUCUCUCUCUCUCUCUCUCUCUCUCUCUCACACACACACACACACACACACACACACACAUUUUUUGAGACACAAUUUCUCUGUGUGUAACCCGAUCUGGAAGUCACUCUGUAGAUGAGGCUGGUCUCGAACUUAGAGAGAUCUGUCUGUCUCUGCCUCCUGACUGCUGGUAUCAAAAGCAUGCACCACCAUCAACCAGCUGAUUCCUACUUUCAGAGAAAGUUUCUCUGAUGGAUGCUAUAACUGGAACCUGCUCUCCCAGAUUCUUCCUCCCCCCAUCCCUUACCACACCCUCCGUAUACCCUUUAGCAGUCUUCUUCCUCUUCUACGUCAGUAUACAUAGAAGUUUCCAGACCUGGGUUACUUCCUGUGCUCUGUAUUGAUGCCCGCAUCUACCAAUGUCUGGCACUACCACCCUGCGUCCUCUUCUGUGUGCACAGCUGAAUGUAAUUUGGGGACUCGGAACAUCUGUGUCUGACUCCUACCAGCCUACCUCCCCAACAACCGCUCUGCUACAACCUCUGCUGGUCCAAAUUCCAGCCAUUCUUCAACAUGUUUUCUUCCAGGGUCCUUCAGAGGAUGUUAGGAAUCUCUCAAAUUUCCCUACCUACACCGUGAUCGCCUCUGCUGCGAUGCCUCUGUGGGUAUGAAAUCUCGCCAAGAGAACUAAAUUCAAAUCCCAGCUUUCUGGACAAUGUAAAGCUGUGGACAUACCACACACCUGCCUGAUGCUCAAGGUAAAUUAGGACUCAUAACAAGUUCAGUGCGGGCUCUAAUUGCGACUAAAUAUAACUUGGGAGAAUAAUUGUAAUAAGAAUAGCCUGGAGUUACUUUGAGAGACUUAAACAUGACAGAGUCAGUAAAUGACACUCAACAAGAUUUUACUACUUGUGAACUCUAGGCUAUACCUUUUAUUCAAGAUCACAUUGAAAACCUAAAUGAGCCAUGUCCUCAGGGGCUUCUGGCCUUAUUACCACACCAAAGCCACGUUAGAGGUUGAGAGCAAAGGCUUUGGCUAUUAGCUCGACCUGUGUGUGAUUUUAAUCUGUGUUCCUUGAUUGGAGCCUGGCCCGAGCUGUGACCCAGCUAUGUGAAGCUAAGGUGGUAGAUGCCUUUAAACAAGGACAGCUGUGACCGGGUCUCCAGACUGCAACAGUGGCCAGCAUAGAUCUACUCUUGUACAGCAGGCUGUCCAGUUUGAAAGAAAUAAACAAAAUGAAUCACAUGCUAAAAUUACAGGCUGGGGAUGAAAUCUAGCCUCUUGCCUGUUUCCAUAAAUACUUUCAGAGUCCCAUGGCCACACCUGGGUGUGUGGGCAAAGAUUUUGGGCUGUUUGUGUGCACAGAGGGAAAUAAGAUGGAGCCUAGACAGUUGAACUCUGAGAAUAUUUAUCACCGACCAUUUACAGAACUACUCUAUACUUACGUGCCUGAAACAAAGGACUGAUUCUGUUAGGAGGCAGAACCAGGAAGGGCUCUAAAAACAUGAUCUGAUGCAAGUCGAGAGAGGCAGAUCUGUAGACCUUAGGUAGGGACUUAGAUGAGCCUAAGGACAAGGGAAUGCUGAGAAGUUUGUGUUAUCUGUUUGUCUCUACAUUAUUCUUUUGGAAUGUAUUUGUAUCGUGAGGGAACAACAGCUACUUCUAUUGUGAGGUACACACGCACAAAAGUGCACAUCAGCACACUGUCAUGAAAUAAACACCAUCCAGGCCAAGAACCAGAUCACUGAUCUCUCUGCUCCUCCAUCGGUAUGCACCCCUCAUCUGAUCCCAGCCCAUCCUCCCUUCUUGUGGAGACCACUUGCUUUAAAAUAGCCUUUCCAUUGUAGUUUUCUUUUUCUGCUGUUGCUUUGGCUUUUAUUCUGAGACAGGGCUUUGCUAGGUAGCCCAGGCUGGCUAAGAACUUGGGUUCCUUCUGCCCCUGCCUUCUGAGUGCUGGGGUCACAGGUGUAGUACAUAUGUUGCCACAUCCAGCAAUUGUCUUCUUGUCUUCUUCUUCUUCUUCUUCUUCCUUCUUCUUCUUCUUCUUCUUCUUCUUCUUCUUCUUCUUCUUCUUCUUCUUCUUCUUCUUCUUCCUCUUCCUCCUCCUCCUCCUCCUCUUCCUCCUCCUCCUCCUCCUCCUUCCCCUCCUCUUCCUCCUCCUUUUCUUCCUCUUCUUUCUCUUUUUCUUUUAUUAUCUCACUAUGCAACUUUACAAUACUGGCUUAUUGAUGUGUGUGUGUGUGUGUGUGUGUGUGUGUGUGUGUGUGUGUGUGUGUAUCUGGCUGCCUUUCUAUAACCUACAACUCCACCUCUGGACCUAUAGAUCUAUUCUCUCCUGAGGCAAACACCUAUGCAUAUCAAGAGGGUAUCUGUAAACAGAAGGCUUCCUUGCAAUAGCUUCAAGCUGGAAAGAACCCACAUUGCCAUCUACAGGAGGGCAGAGACCUUAGUUGGGUUAUUGUAAGUUCUUGGUGGGGUGUUACACAAACAUGAAAAUGAACACGUUACAAUUACCCAACAACAGGAGUGAAAGCCCAGGAGGGUCAAGCUGGGAGGCAGAAGAAAUGUAGAGUUGUAAGGACCUCUUUAGAAGCUGGGUGCACAGCUGAGCAUUGGGGGUUGGUCUGGUGCUGCUAUGUAGUCAAAAUGCUAAAUUCUGUACCCCAAGAUCUGGUUGCUCCCAAAUUCUUACAUAUACAUUGCCUUUAUUGUAUAAACCUUGCUCCCCAAUUUAAAGCUAUUGGUUAAAUAAAAGUGGCUACAACCAACGGCUGGGGAGGACAGAGGUAGGUGGGUCUUUGGUUACUGGGCUUGGGGAGUCACAGGUAGGGACCUUGAAGAGAAAGAGGGUAGGAAGAGAGAGAAGGAGGAGAAAGGAGGAAAAGGGGGAGGAAGGAGGAAAAAGGGGAGGAGGAGGAGGAGAAGAAGAAAGAAGAUGGAGAAAACGUGAGGUCUCCAUUAGAUGUAGUGGACCAAGAGCAGGUGCCCAAGUGAUGGAGCAGAAAUAACAAAGGUGAGACUCCAACAGCAAGUAUUUGGGGACCACAACUAAGGAAGUAGCCAGUUUAGUGUUAGAAAAUAGAUUAGGGGGGCUGGAGAGACAGCUCAGUGUAAGAGCACUGACCGAUCUUCCAGAGGUCCUGAGUUCAAUUCCCAGCAACCACAUGACGGCUCACAAGCACUUGUCCGAUGCCCUCUUCUGGUGUGUCUGAAGACAGUGACAGUGUACUCAUAUACAUUAAAAUGAAGAAAGAAUAUAGAUUGGAGAUAAUUCCCUCAAUAAUUGUGCUAAAGCUGAAUAAGUAAAUCUUAGCCUCAGUCUCAUUCAAUCUAGCUUCCAAAUAAAUAGAAAUACGUAUGUUAAUUUACAGCUAAGUCUACGGGGUUAGAACAAAUGACAGCUACACAAAAGGCACCCGCUGGAUCCUGCCACAGGGAAGCUCCUGAGCUGGUGACAAUGGAGAGGAGAAGGCAGACUUGAGAGGUUCUAUGGAUGCAGAAACAGAGCAGAUAAGAGUUCCUGGCUGGCUGGACAUGAACGUGAGACAAGGGAGACUCUGGAGCUUCUGCGUGGGGGUUAGGCUACGUGGGAGGUGAAGAAGCUUGCAGGAGAUGAUGUUCUGGAAGGAAACACUUAGGGUGUGAUGGAUUGAUUAUCUGUGAGGGUCUACGUGGAAAGGCACAGUGUGGAAGAGCAGUUAGCCGUGGCUCAGAGGUCAAGGGUACUGGCUGCUGUAGUACAGGGUCUAGCUUUGGUCCCCAGCACCGAUGAUAGGCAGCUCUUAACUACCUGUAAUUCCUCCUCCAGGGGAAUCAAAGUUCUCUUCUGGCCACUGUAGGCACACGCUAACACACGUAUACACAUAAAGCAAAGCCAAAUCUUUAAAAGAAUGGAGAAGGACCAUUGAGCUCCCAUGUGCAUGUGAGCAUCGCUCUGUCCUUCUGACCUUCUGAAGUAAAGGACCAGAUGCUUCAAGCCCCUGAUGGUUUGGCUCGGUGGACUGAAACCUGGAACUUCCAGCUCAAGCAAACCCUCUCACCUUUAAGUUACUUUUGCAAGAGUUUUUGUUUUGUUUUAUUUAUUUAUUUAUUUAUUUAUUUAUUUAUUUAUUUAUUUAUUUUUUUAUCACGGCAACUGAAAUGACGCUGAGACAGGGUCUUCCCUUCUAGGUUUUCAAAGUUAUCAUUUUGAGCUUACCUCCAGGACACACGAGCAGCUAAUGAAUGUCCAUUUGAAAGGUAAGCAGAGAAACCCCAGUGGGGGGGAAAAUGAAGAGAGACACUGCCCACGAGGUAUUCCCCAAAAUGCUAAAAUUUGGGUAGGAGCAGUUCCCACUGGUCCUAUCAACAGUAACACCAUGCCCCGCCCUCCUCCUGCCUCCUGGUCCUAUCAACAGUAACACCAUGCCCCGCCCUCCUCCUGCCUCCUGGUCCUAUCAACAGUAACACCAUGCCCCGCCCUCCUCCUGCCUCCUGGUCCUAUCAACAGUAACACCAUGCCCCGCCCUCCUCCUGCCUCCUGGUCCUAUCAACAGUAACACCAUGCCCCGCCCUCCUCCUGCCUCCUGGUCCUAUCAACAGUAACACCAUGCCCCGCCCUCCUCCUGCCUCCUGGUCCUAUCAACAGUAACACCAUGCCCCGCCCUCCUCCUGCCUCCCCAGAGGUUAGCUAAUCUUUCUGGCUCCCUCCCAGGCUCAGAAAGCCACUCACAUAAUGGCUCUGUAUCUUCUUAUGAUUACCAGAGAGAUUGGGCAAGCAGGACCGUUCCUGGUAGGCCGAGCCAGCUUCACACUUCCCAGACCGGUCCUUCAGACUCCCCUUCAUUUUGGAUUAUGCCAAAGCAAAUUAUAUUUACUCUCUCCUGAGUGAGAGUGCUCUAGGAGGAUUACAAAAAGUCCUUUCUCUGAGGGCCAGAGACAUGGUUCAGUGGGUGAAGAUGUUUGCUGACAGCCACCCCCCUCCCCAUACUACAAAUUUUAGAAAAUUCUUUGCCCGAGUUCUUAAAAUCUACCCAAAACUCUAUCUGUACUUAACUGCCUUUGACCAUGUGCCCUGGCCUGCUUCAUCUUCAUACUAAGAUAGUGGGAAAGAGGCUUAUUUCUAUUGUCAUGUCAGUAAAUUCUUUAAAAAUAUUAUUAGCCACAGGGGUGUCUGUGUGUGUGGUAUGUGUAUGUGUCUGCGUCUGCGCUGUUUGUCAAUGUGUGGGAUGUAUGUGUGGGUGGUAUGUGGGUGGAGUAUGUGGUGUGUGUGUGUGUGUGUGUGUGUGUGUGUGUGUGUGUGUGUGUGUGUGUAGGGCAACAGGAUUCUUCCUUGUACGUUGAUCACCUUAUUCACUGUUGUAAGGUGGUCCAGCUGUCCAGUUGACUUGGGGGAUCUCCUGUCUCUUCUCUCUAAGCACUGGGAUUACAGUUAGGCCCUCACACUUACUUGUGAGCUCUGGAGAUCUGAACUAGCCAAACUCUCAGGCACACGGGGGCAAGCAAUUUAAUUGCUAAACCAUCUCCCUAGCCCAUAAUAUCACUACUUUGUGAAGAACACGAUUUGUUCUUUCUCUUAAAUACACACUUGGUUUGGCAUGUAUUUGUGUGUGUGUGUGUGUGUGUGUGUGUAGGGGGGCUCACAUGUGUGUGUAGCUCUGAGGGUGAUAUUAGAAGUCUUCCUGAGUUGCUCUCCACCUGAUUCUCUGAGGCAAGUACUCACCAGAAAUCAGAGGUCUUUGGCAUGUCUAGUACAGCUAAUCUGCUUGUCUAGGGGGUGCCAUAUAUCUGACUCCAUGGUCAGGUCUAGGAUUUCAGGGAGAUGCCUUGCCCACUCUGCAUUUAUGGGAUUCUAGGGAUCCAACCUCCAGGUCAUCACAUUGAAUGGCCAGCUCUUUCUCUGUGAACCUGUUCACCAUACACUUUUAAAAACCAACGAACAGUGUGAACAACCCAGACUUUAAUUCGUUGAACAUCGAAUGUUCCUGGAUCAAGAAUGCGCUGAAUGAUGUCCUCACUGUCCAAGAGAAAGCAAGCACCCCGCCUUGCUAUGUAGUUCUGUAUUGAUCAGACUACAUCUCCAGCCUUGAGCUCCAUUUUAGACACGCAGAUUCCUGAUGGACAUAUAUGAGUGGAAGCGCACACUGGAGAAUGACCCUUUUGAGGAGGGGAACAGUUAGAGGAAGUGCCUGUGACUGGCCUGAACUGGAGACAAAGAUGAAAACUUUGAGAUACUUUCUAACACCUGGAAGAAAGAUGACUCAGCAUGCAAAGGUGCCUGCUACUGAACCUGAUAACCUGAGAGUUUGAUCUCUCAGGUUCUACAAGGCACAAGGACAGAACUAACUCACAUGUAGUCCUCAGACCGCUGUAUAGUACCUACCGUCUGUCACGCCCCAAUUCUAAAUAAAUAACGAAACCUAAUGUAUGCAUCAGCCUGGCCAAAUAUAUCAGAGCCAGAAUUUCUAGAUAGAAGUUAGGAGUUCAAGGAAGUAGGGAACUUUUAUUUUAUUUAAUUUUUAACUUUUAUUUGUUUGUUUAGUUUUGGGUUUUUAUGACAGGCUUUCUCUGUGUAGCCUGGCCUGUUCUGGAACUUGCUCUGGAGACCAGGCUGGACUCGAACUCAUAGAGAUCCCACCUCCUACCUCUGCAUCCUGAGUGCUAAGGAUUGAAGGUAGCUGAGGCAGGGGACUUUUAAAGUUUAUUUAAAUUGAAGAGGGAAAUUUGAGACAUUUGGGCAAAGAUUGUUCUAGCAUAAAAUCUAGCUACAGGGAUGUUCAAAUAGACUGACCUUCAGGACAUUUUGUGGUAGCUAGUUCAAAAUCCAAAUAGCGCCAACAAUCCAUUAACAUACCCUCAGAGGACAAAACAAAGAGUUUAAAGAAAGACAAAAUGAUAAGUAUAAGCCACUCUGAAUUUCAAGUUUGCAAAUAUAAAGGAAAUGACUCUCAUUUCUUUUUUUUUUUUUUUUUUAUUUUUGGUUUUUUGAGACAGGGUUUCUCUGUAUAGCCAUAGCUGUCCUGGAACUCACUCUGUAGACCAGGCUGGCCUCGAACUCAGAGAUCCGCCUGCCUCUGCCUCCCGAGUGCUGGGAUUAGAGACAUGCGCCACCACUAUGCGCCCAGCUAUGACUCUCAUUUCUACUUUAUUAACUAAAUUAAAGUUUAGAGAUCCCACUUUCUCUUGCUUUGAAACUAUUUGAUAACUGAUCCAUAUAAACAAAGCAGUCCAUUCAAACUCGGCCUCUCAUCAGGGUGGUAAUCUUGGCUAUUUUGUUAAAAGAGGAGAAAAAUGGCUAUCAGUGACUGUCAUAUUGUAUUUCAUGGGACUUUCACUUAGGAAACAAACUUUGACCUGUUUUGUUGUACACAGGGAAAACAUCACUUUUUUUCUUAAACCACGUUACAUGCACAUGAGUGUGAAAUAUGUCAAGAAAAUGUACUGUAAUAGCACAGAACCGAGAGACACUCGAACUCUCACAAGGACACGACUGGCAUCAGGUAGGAGAGAAAAGAGAGGUAAGCACACUAUUGAGAAAGAAGCCUGUAAAAUGAAAAGUGUUAAAGCCAGUUAUGAUGGACAGUCAAGAAUCCUGACACAACUUCAAGAUUGCCCUUCCUAUGCCCAUCCAGCCACCAGCAUCUCUGUGUGCCAGUCUAAGUGGCUUAGAGGAUGCCACCGAGAUUACAGCCUCUUGGCAUCAGGUAGAUUUUCACACUACUUAUGCUCCCAGUGAAUUUGUGCAA
Long non-coding RNA from Mus musculus (house mouse), 14027 nucleotides. RefSeq annotates it as predicted gene, 33361. The transcript is spliced from 2 exons. NCBI's taxonomy places the organism in Eukaryota, Metazoa, Chordata, Mammalia, Rodentia, Muridae. The record is from RefSeq and is a predicted model, not a curated record.